Molecule: long non-coding RNA, 656 nt
Organism: Carassius gibelio (silver crucian carp)
Lineage: Eukaryota; Metazoa; Chordata; Actinopteri; Cypriniformes; Cyprinidae
Exons: 3
Source: RefSeq, a predicted model, not a curated record
GAAUUAAACCAUCAGAUCCAAUACAACAUACUCUAUAGCUUGACAGCAUCGGCUGUGCCCAUGAUCGGGCAUCACUGUUUGGGUUCCGUUUCCAUGCCAACUUCAAUUAACAUUGGCUGCGGGGACAGGAGAGGAUGUUUCCAAGAGGAGAGAUGAGAAGAGUGUCACUUAAAGUGUUUCUGGACCAGCUGUUUUCAGUCCCUAUGACAAUAAGUGCUUUUUGCACUGGGCUGAACACUUUGGAAGGUGCAGAGCAUCCCCUUGAAGACUGGAUAAAUACAUUCUGGACCUCUUCUAAGGCUUAGAAUUUCUUGCUGAUCCCGCUGAUGGCUCGGAGGAGUUUCUCUUGGCUGGACUUUCUUCUUCUGUCAUUUCAAGCAACUGAAGGGUGACUUCCUGAUUUAGGCUUUAUUCUGCAGCUGCUUGACUUUGAAUUUAACCAAAACACUUUCUUAAAUCAACAUAUGCAACAAUGCAUAUUAAACAUAAUGGAUGCAUUACAGCUGGCUGAAGUUUAAUUUUAUGUGGUUCGAAAAAAAAAACAUUUCUUGACUCUUGACAUUCUAUUGGUGUGGGUAAACCACGAUUUGUGAAAAUGUUUAUUAUUUAAAUGAUUCCAAUUACUACGUAAUAAACAAACAUGAUUUUUUACCCCA